Molecule: ribosomal RNA, 1502 nt
Filed under: Lactiplantibacillus plantarum
Lineage: Bacteria; Bacillati; Bacillota; Bacilli; Lactobacillales; Lactobacillaceae
Description: bacterial SSU rRNA
Rfam family: Bacterial small subunit ribosomal RNA
Source: RNAcentral
GGGCGAGUUUAUUAUACUAAUGUUGUCGACGAACUCUGGUAUUGAUUGGUGCUUGCAUCAUGAUUUACAUUUGAGUGAGUGGCGAACUGGUGAGUAACACGUGGGAAACCUGCCCAGAAGCGGGGGAUAACACCUGGAAACAGAUGCUAAUACCGCAUAACAACUUGGACCGCAUGGUCCGAGUUUGAAAGAUGGCUUCGGCUAUCACUUUUGGAUGGUCCCGCGGCGUAUUAGCUAGAUGGUGGGGUAACGGCUCACCAUGGCAAUGAUACGUAGCCGACCUGAGAGGGUAAUCGGCCACAUUGGGACUGAGACACGGCCCAAACUCCUACGGGAGGCAGCAGUAGGGAAUCUUCCACAAUGGACGAAAGUCUGAUGGAGCAACGCCGCGUGAGUGAAGAAGGGUUUCGGCUCGUAAAACUCUGUUGUUAAAGAAGAACAUAUCUGAGAGUAACUGUUCAGGUAUUGACGGUAUUUAACCAGAAAGCCACGGCUAACUACGUGCCAGCAGCCGCGGUAAUACGUAGGUGGCAAGCGUUGUCCGGAUUUAUUGGGCGUAAAGCGAGCGCAGGCGGUUUUUUAAGUCUGAUGUGAAAGCCUUCGGCUCAACCGAAGAAGUGCAUCGGAAACUGGGAAACUUGAGUGCAGAAGAGGACAGUGGAACUCCAUGUGUAGCGGUGAAAUGCGUAGAUAUAUGGAAGAACACCAGUGGCGAAGGCGGCUGUCUGGUCUGUAACUGACGCUGAGGCUCGAAAGUAUGGGUAGCAAACAGGAUUAGAUACCCUGGUAGUCCAUACCGUAAACGAUGAAUGCUAAGUGUUGGAGGGUUUCCGCCCUUCAGUGCUGCAGCUAACGCAUUAAGCAUUCCGCCUGGGGAGUACGGCCGCAAGGCUGAAACUCAAAGGAAUUGACGGGGGCCCGCACAAGCGGUGGAGCAUGUGGUUUAAUUCGAAGCUACGCGAAGAACCUUACCAGGUCUUGACAUACUAUGCAAAUCUAAGAGAUUAGACGUUCCCUUCGGGGACAUGGAUACAGGUGGUGCAUGGUUGUCGUCAGCUCGUGUCGUGAGAUGUUGGGUUAAGUCCCGCAACGAGCGCAACCCUUAUUAUCAGUUGCCAGCAUUAAGUUGGGCACUCUGGUGAGACUGCCGGUGACAAACCGGAGGAAGGUGGGGAUGACGUCAAAUCAUCAUGCCCCUUAUGACCUGGGCUACACACGUGCUACAAUGGAUGGUACAACGAGUUGCGAACUCGCGAGAGUAAGCUAAUCUCUUAAAGCCAUUCUCAGUUCGGAUUGUAGGCUGCAACUCGCCUACAUGAAGUCGGAAUCGCUAGUAAUCGCGGAUCAGCAUGCCGCGGUGAAUACGUUCCCGGGCCUUGUACACACCGCCCGUCACACCAUGAGAGUUUGUAACACCCAAAGUCGGUGGGGUAACCUUUUAGGAACCAGCCGCCUAAGGUGGGACAGAUGAUUAGGGGAAGUACGUAAUCGACGUGCAUCCC